UACGUAGGGGGCAAGCGUUGUCCGGAAUCAUUGGGCGUAAAGCGCGUGUAGGCUGCUUCGAAAGUCGGAUGUGAAAGCCCUGGGCUCAACCUAGGAAGUGCACUCGAAACUUCGAAGCUGGAGUCCUGGAGAGGAAGGCGGAAUUCUCGGUGUAGAGGUGAAAUUCGUAGAUAUCGAGAGGAACACCGGUGGCGAAGGCGGCCUUCUGGACAGUGACUGACGCUGAGACGCGAAAGCGUGGGGAGCAAACAGG
This 253-nucleotide ribosomal RNA is filed under the name uncultured bacterium. RNAcentral's name for it is "partial 16S ribosomal RNA". It matches the Rfam family "Bacterial small subunit ribosomal RNA", at positions 524 to 776 of the family's 1533-position model. The record is from RNAcentral.